GAUGAACGCUGGCGGCGUGCCUAAUACAUGCAAGUCGAGCGAACGGACGAGAAGCUUGCUUCUCUGAUGUUAGCGGCGGACGGGUGAGUAACACGUGGAUAACCUACCUAUAAGACUGGGAUAACUUCGGGAAACCGGAGCUAAUACCGGAUAAUAUUUUGAACCGCAUGGUUCAAAAGUGAAAGACGGUCUUGCUGUCACUUAUAGAUGGAUCCGCGCUGCAUUAGCUAGUUGGUAAGGUAACGGCUUACCAAGGCAACGAUGCAUAGCCGACCUGAGAGGGUGAUCGGCCACACUGGAACUGAGACACGGUCCAGACUCCUACGGGAGGCAGCAGUAGGGAAUCUUCCGCAAUGGGCGAAAGCCUGACGGAUCAACGCCGCGUGAGUGAUGAAGGUCUUCGGAUCGUAAAACUCUGUUAUUAGGGAAGAACAUAUGUGUAAGUAACUGUGCACAUCUUGACGGUACCUAAUCAGAAAGCCACGGCUAACUACG
RNAcentral lists this ribosomal RNA (495 nucleotides) under uncultured bacterium. RNAcentral describes it as "partial 16S ribosomal RNA". It matches the Rfam family "Bacterial small subunit ribosomal RNA", at positions 28 to 505 of the family's 1533-position model. The record is from RNAcentral.